Molecule: ribosomal RNA, 322 nt
Filed under: Sandonidae sp.
Lineage: Eukaryota; Cercozoa; Glissomonadida; Sandonidae
Description: SSU rRNA
Rfam family: Eukaryotic small subunit ribosomal RNA (bases 113-322)
Source: RNAcentral
GAUUUCUGGCUUGAAACAUUAAGCCGGCCACGGUUUCGUGUGUUAGUGCUUGAUGUUCUGGCCAUCCUUCCAAUUGCUAUUGGUCGCUCUUCAUUGAGUGGUCAGUGGUAUUGGAUCUUUUACUUUGAAAAAAUUAGAGUGUUUCAAGCAGGCUUUAUGCUAUGAAUACAUUAGCAUGGAAUAAUAAUUUAGGACUUCGGUUCUAUUUUGUUGGUUUCUAGGACUGAAGUAAUGAUUGAUAGGGAUAGUUGGGGGUGCUAGUAUUCAGCGGCCAGAGGUGAAAUUCUUGGAUUCGCUGAAGACUAACUUAUGCGAAAGCAUU